AUUGAACGCUGGCGGCAGGCCUAACACAUGCAAGUCGAACGGGUGGCGGGCGGGUGAGUAAUGUCUGGGAAACUGCCUGAGGGAGGGGGUUCACUACUGGAAGCGGUAGCUAAUACCGCAUACCAUCGGAUGUGCCCAGAUGGGAUUAGCUAGUUGGUGGGGUAACGGCUCACCAAGGCGACGAUCCCUAGCUGGUCUGAGAGGAUGACCAGCCACACUGGAACUGAGACACGGUCCAGACUCCUACGGGAGGCAGCAGUGGGGAAUAUUGCACAAUGGGCGCAAGCCUGAUACAGCCAUGCCGCGUGUGUGAAGAAGGCCUUCGGGUUGUAAAGCACUUUCAGUGGGGAGGCGUUACCCGCAGAAGAAGCACCGGCUAACUCCGUGCCAGCAGCCGCGGUAAUAC
This 406-nucleotide ribosomal RNA is filed under the name uncultured bacterium. RNAcentral's name for it is "partial 16S ribosomal RNA". It matches the Rfam family "Bacterial small subunit ribosomal RNA", at positions 30 to 526 of the family's 1533-position model. The record is from RNAcentral.